UGGGAAGUCGUCCAACGGCAGGACACAUGACUCUGGAUCAUGGAAUCAAGGUUCGAAUCCUUGCUUCCCAGCCA
This 74-nucleotide transfer RNA is filed under the name Candidatus Aminicenantota bacterium. Its description in RNAcentral is "tRNA-Gln". It matches the Rfam family "tRNA". From Rfam's summary of the family: Transfer RNA (tRNA) molecules are approximately 80 nucleotides in length. RNAcentral also lists the same sequence under 2 other names. Lineage: Bacteria; Candidatus Aminicenantota. The record is from RNAcentral.